CCUACGGGAGGCAGCAGUGAGGAAUAUUGGUCAAUGGGCGCGAGCCUGAACCAGCCAAGUCGCGUGAGGGAAGACGGUCCUAUGGAUUGUAAACCUCUUUUGUCGGGGAGCAAAAGACGCCACGCGUGGCGUUCCGAGAGUACCCGAAGAAAAAGCAUCGGCUAACUCCGUGCCAGCAGCCGCGGUAAUACGGAGGGUGCAAGCGUUACUCGGAAUCACUGGGCGUAAAGAGCGCGUAGGCGGGAUAGCAAGUCAGAUGUGAAAUCCCGAGGCUCAACUUCGGAAUUGCCUCUGAUACUGUUCGGCUAGAGAGUAGUUGCGGUAGGCGGAAUGUAUGGUGUAGCGGUGAAAUGCUUAGAGAUCAUACAGAACACCGAUUGCGAAGGCAGCUUACCAAGCUACUUCUGACGUUGAGGCACGAAAGCGUGGGGAGCAAACAGGAUUAGAUACCCGUGUAGUC
RNAcentral lists this ribosomal RNA (460 nucleotides) under uncultured bacterium. Its description in RNAcentral is "partial 16S ribosomal RNA". It matches the Rfam family "Bacterial small subunit ribosomal RNA", at positions 338 to 795 of the family's 1533-position model. The record is from RNAcentral.